GAUGAACGCUGGCGGCGUGCCUAAUACAUGCAAGUCGAGCGAACGGACGAGACGUUUGCUUCUCUGUUGUUAGCGGCGCACGUGUGAGUCACACGUGUAUCCCCUACCUAUCUGUCUGGGAUCACUUCGGGACACCGGCUCUAAUACCGUAUGAUCUUUUGCUCCGCAUGGUUCAAAAGUGAAUGUCGGUCUUUCUGUCUCUUAUAGCUGGAUCUCCGCUGCAUGAGCUAGUUGGUAAGGUAACGGCUUACCACGGCAACGAUGCAUAGCAGAACUGAGAGGGGGAUAGGCGACACGGGAAGUGAGACAGGGACAAGACUACUACGGGAGGCAGCAGUAGGGAAUGGUACGCAGUGGGCGAAAGCCUGACGGAGCAACGCCGCGUGAGAGAUGAAAAUGUUCGGAUCGUAAUGCUCUGUUAUGAGGGAAAAACAUAUGUGGAAGGAACUGUGCACAGAUUGACGGUAACUAAUCAGAAAGCAACGGCUAACUACGUG
RNAcentral lists this ribosomal RNA (497 nucleotides) under uncultured bacterium. Its description in RNAcentral is "partial 16S ribosomal RNA". It matches the Rfam family "Bacterial small subunit ribosomal RNA", at positions 28 to 507 of the family's 1533-position model. The record is from RNAcentral.